GUCGUAACAAGGUUUCCGUAGGUGAACCUGCGGAAGGAUCAUUACC
This 46-nucleotide ribosomal RNA is filed under the name Heterosigma akashiwo. RNAcentral describes it as "partial 18S ribosomal RNA". It matches the Rfam family "Eukaryotic small subunit ribosomal RNA", at positions 1788 to 1831 of the family's 1831-position model. Lineage: Eukaryota; Raphidophyceae; Chattonellales; Chattonellaceae. RNAcentral also lists the same sequence under 1 other name. The record is from RNAcentral.